GUUCUCCAAGCGUGGUGCUCCCUCAUGGCCAGCAGCAUCAGCAUCCUUCCAGAGCUUGUUAGAAAUGCAAAUUCUUGGAGCCCCUCGGUGGCUCAGUCCGUGCGACUCUUGAUUUCGGCUUGGCUGACCAUCUCACGGCUGAUAUUCAGGAAGAAACCAAAGGUGAUCUAUUGGCCACGGGACAGGAGAUUGGAUUUAACCCAUCAACUCUGACCCUCCGGGAGAAGCAAAGCAUUUCCAUUGGGGAGCUGUCUGACCAAUCCAGUUCUCCGCGUCUGCGAGGGAGUUAACCGAGAAUAUCAAAGGCAUUCUUGAAUCGGUCAUCUAUCACGAAACAUUCUCCUCCUCCCGUCCCCCACCCUGCUCCCAUCAUCCCCCUCCUCCCGAGCAGCAGCGGCCACAGGGGAGA
Molecule: long non-coding RNA, 409 nt
Organism: Herpailurus yagouaroundi (jaguarundi)
Lineage: Eukaryota; Metazoa; Chordata; Mammalia; Carnivora; Felidae
Exons: 3
Source: RefSeq, a predicted model, not a curated record